CGAUGAUACGCGAAGAACCUUACCAGGUCUUGACAUCCCCCGCGAUGCUUUAGAGAUAAAGCGGAGGUAUUCGGGGAGACAGGUGGUGCAUGGUUGUCGUCAGCUCGUGUCGUGAGAUGUUGGGUUAAGUCCCGCAACGAGCGCAACCCCUAUUGCUAGUUACCAUCAUUAAGUUGGGGACUCUAGCGAGACUGCCAGUGAUAAACUGGAGGAAGGUGGGGAUGACGUCAAAUCAUCAUGCCCCUUAUGACCUGGGCUACAAACGUGAUACAAUGGCUGGAACAAAGGGAUGCGAAGCAGUGAUGUGGAGCGAAACCCAUAAAAACAGUCUCAGUUCGGAUUGAAGUCUGCAACUCGACUUCAUGAAGUCGGAAUCGCUAGUAAUCGUGAAUCAGAAUGUCACGGUGAAUACGUUCCCGGGCCUU
RNAcentral lists this ribosomal RNA (425 nucleotides) under uncultured Acholeplasma sp. RNAcentral describes it as "bacterial SSU rRNA". It matches the Rfam family "Bacterial small subunit ribosomal RNA", at positions 952 to 1382 of the family's 1533-position model. The record is from RNAcentral. Lineage: Bacteria; Bacillati; Mycoplasmatota; Mollicutes; Acholeplasmatales; Acholeplasmataceae.